This 1123-nucleotide ribosomal RNA is filed under the name Brymela websteri. RNAcentral describes it as "eukaryotic LSU rRNA". It matches the Rfam family "Eukaryotic large subunit ribosomal RNA", at positions 35 to 1152 of the family's 3401-position model. Lineage: Eukaryota; Viridiplantae; Streptophyta; Bryopsida; Hookeriales; Callicostaceae. The record is from RNAcentral.
UAAGCAUAUCACUAAGCGGAGGAGAAGAAACUAACCAGGAUUUCCCUAGUAACGGCGAGCGAACCGGAAAGAGCCCAGCUUGGAAAUCGUGGUGCCUCGCACCUCGAGUUGUAGUCUGGAGAAGGUCCCUCUGCGACGCGCCGGACCCAAGUUCCCUGGAAAGGGACGUCAGAGAGGGUGAGAACCCCGUUCGCGUCCGAACCGCGUCGCUCCACGAGGACCUGUCUGCGAGUCGGGCUGUUUGGGAAUGCAGCCCUAAGCGGGUGGUAAAUUCCAUCCAAGGCUAAAUACUGGCAAGAGACCGAUAGCGAACAAGUACCGCGAGGGAAAGAUGAAAAGGACUUUGAAAAGAGAGUUAAAAAGUGCUUGAAAUUGCUGGGAGGGAAGCGAAUGGAAGCUGCGGGUGCGCCCCGGUUGGAUGCGGAACGGCUUCGGCUGGUCCGCCGCUCAACGCGGGGCGCUGGUCAGCGUGGGCCGUCGCGCCGGGACAAGAGCGGGGAUUCGCUUCCCGCCUAUGCCGGUGCGGCGGCCGAGGAACGAAGCGCGCGCCUCUUCUGGCGUGGGUUCGCCCAACUGCGCGCUCGGGACGCUGGCGUAUUGAGCUCUUCAUCCGGCCCGUCUUGAAACACGGACCAAGGAGUCUAACAUGUAUGCGAGCCGGUGGGCGGCAAACCCAUUGAGGCGCAAGGAACCUGACAGGUGGGACCCCGACCGCGAGGGAGGGAGCACCAUCGACCGACCGUGAUCUUCUGUGAAAGGUUUGAGUGUGAGCAUACCUGUUGGGACCCGAAAGAUGGUGAACUAUGCCUGAGCAGGGCGAAGCCAGAGGAAACUCUGGUGGAGGCUCGUAGCGAUACUGACGUGCAAAUCGUUCGUCAGACUUGGGUAUAGGGGCGAAAGACUAAUCGAACCAUCUAGUAGCUGGUUCCCUCCGAAGUUUCCCUCAGGAUAGCUGGAGCUCGUGUAAAAGUUUUAUCAGGUAAAGCGAAUGAUUAGAGGCAUCGGGGGUGUAACACCCUCGACCUAUUCUCAAACUUUAAAUAGGUAAGCCGCCGGGGUUGCUUGGUUGAACCCUGGCACAGAAUGAGAGCUCCAAGUGGGCCAUUUUUGGUAAGCAGAACUG